RNAcentral lists this ribosomal RNA (471 nucleotides) under uncultured Anaerolineaceae bacterium. RNAcentral describes it as "bacterial SSU rRNA". It matches the Rfam family "Bacterial small subunit ribosomal RNA", at positions 897 to 1382 of the family's 1533-position model. Lineage: Bacteria; Bacillati; Chloroflexota; Anaerolineae; Anaerolineales; Anaerolineaceae. The record is from RNAcentral.
AAACUCAAAUGAAUUGACGGGGACCCGCACAAGCAGCGGAGCGUGUGGUUUAAUUCGUUGCUACACGAAGAACCUUACCUGGGUUUGACAUAUAAGUUGUAGGGAACUGAAAAGGGACCGACCCUUCGGGGAGCUUAUACAGGUGUUGCAUGGCUGUCGUCAGCUCGUGUCGUGAGAUGUUCGGUUAAGUCCGCUAACGAGCGCAACCCUCGCCGUAUGUUACAAGUGUCAUACGGGACUGCCGGUAAAAGCCGGAGGAAGGUGAGGAUGAUGUCAAGUCAGCAUGACCUUUAUAUCCAGGGCUACACACACGCUACAAUGGUCUGUACAAUUGGUUGCCAAGCCGCGAGGCGGAGCCAAUCCGUAAAGCAGGCCUCAGUUCAGAUUGCAGUCUGCAACUCGACUGCAUGAAGCCGGAGUUGCUAGUAACCGCAGGUCAGCAAUACUGCGGUGAAUACGUUCCCGGGUCUU